CCUACGGGAGGCAGCAGUGGGGAAUAUUGCACAAUGGGCGAAAGCCUGAUGCAGCGACGCCGCGUGAGGGAUGACGGCCUUCGGGUUGUAAACCUCUUUCAGCAGGGAAGAAGCGAAAGUGACGGUACCUGCAGAAGAAGCGCCGGCUAACUACGUGCCAGCAGCCGCGGUAAUACGUAGGGCGCAAGCGUUGUCCGGAAUUAUUGGGCGUAAAGAGCUCGUAGGCGGCUUGUCACGUCGGAUGUGAAAGCCCGGGGCUUAACCCCGGGUCUGCAUUCGAUACGGGCUAGCUAGAGUGUGGUAGGGGAGAUCGGAAUUCCUGGUGUAGCGGUGAAAUGCGCAGAUAUCAGGAGGAACACCGGUGGCGAAGGCGGAUCUCUGGGCCAUUACUGACGCUGAGGAGCGAAAGCGUGGGGAGCGAACAGGAUUAGAUACCCUGGUAGUCCACGCCGUAAACGUUGGGAACUAGGUGUUGGCGACAUUCCACGUCGUCGGUGCCGCAGCUACGACAUUAACGUUACCCGUCCCGUCGGGUAGGUACGGCCGCCGACGGACGUAAACCGUUAAAACGGUAAGUUAGACGGCGUGAGACGUCGCCGACGGACGACGACGAGGGAGGUAGG
RNAcentral lists this ribosomal RNA (623 nucleotides) under uncultured bacterium. RNAcentral describes it as "bacterial SSU rRNA". The stretch from base 1 to 526 matches the Rfam family "Bacterial small subunit ribosomal RNA", at positions 338 to 873 of the family's 1533-position model. The record is from RNAcentral.